RNAcentral lists this ribosomal RNA (1508 nucleotides) under uncultured Gammaproteobacteria bacterium. RNAcentral describes it as "bacterial SSU rRNA". It matches the Rfam family "Bacterial small subunit ribosomal RNA". The record is from RNAcentral. Lineage: Bacteria; Pseudomonadati; Pseudomonadota; Gammaproteobacteria.
AGAGUUUGAUUAUGGCUCAGAUUGAACGCUGGCGGCAUGCCUAACACAUGCAAGUCGAACGGUAACAGAACCAGCUUGCUGGUUGCUGACGAGUGGCGGACGGGUGAGGAAUAUAUAGGAACUUGCCUAGUAGCGGGGGAUAACCUGUGGAAACGCAGGCUAAUACCGCAUACGCUCUACGGAGGAAAGCAGGGGAUCUUCGGACCUUGCGCUAUUAGAUAGGCCUAUAUUGGAUUAGCUUGUUGGUAAGGUAAUGGCUUACCAAGGCAACGAUCCAUAGCUGGUUUGAGAGAAUGAUCAGUCCACACUGGGACCUGAGACACGGCCCAGACUCCUACGGGAGGCAGCAGUGGGGAAUAUUGCACAAUGGAGGAAACUCUGAGUGCAGCAAUGCCGCGGGUAUGAAGAAGGCCUUCGGGUUGUAAGGUACUUUCAAUAGGGAGGAAACGCUUUGUCCUAAUAUGGCAAAGAUAUGACGUUACCUAUAGAAGAAGAACCGGCUAACUCCGUGCCAGCAGCCGCGGUAAUACGGAAGGUUCGAGCGUUAAUCGGAAUUACUGGGCGUAAAGCGCGCGUAGGCGGUUUGCUAAGUCAGAUGUGAAAUCCCUGGGCUUAACCUAGGAACUGCAUUUGAAACUAGCAAGCUAGAGUAUGGUAGAGGUGGGUGGAAUUUCAGGUGCAGCGGUGGAACGCGUAGAGAUCUGAAGGAACAUCAGUGGCGAAGGCGGCUCGCUGGGCCAUCACUGACGCUGAGGUGCGAAAGCGUGGGUAGCAAACAGGAUUAGAUACCCUGGUAGUCCACGCCCUAAACGAUGUCAACUAAAUGUGUGGGAGUAUAACUCUUGCGUAUUUCAGCUAACGCGAUAAGUUGACCGCCUGGGGAGUACGGUCGCAAGACUAAAACUCAAAUGAAUUGACGGGGGCCCGCACAAGCGGUGGAGCAUGUGGUUUAAUUCGAUGCAACGCGAAAAACCUUACCAGGUCUUGGACAUGUACGGAAAUUGCCAGAGAUGGCGAUGUGCCUUCGGGAGCCGUAACACAGGUGCUGCAUGGCUGUCGUCAGCUCGUGUCGUGAGAUGUUGGGUUAAGUUCCCGCAACGAGCGCCAACCCUUGUCUUUAGUUGCCAGCACUUUAAGGUGGGCACUCUAAGGAGACUGCCGGUGACAAACCGGAGCAAGGUGGGGACGACGUCAAGUCACUUCAUGGCCUUUAUGACCUGGGCUACACACGUGCUACAAUGGCCAGUACAGAGGGUUGCUAACUCGCAAGGGUAGGCUAAUCCCAUAAAGCUGGUCGUAGUCCGGAUUGGAGUCUGCAACUCGACUCCAUGAAGUCGGAAUCGCUAGUAAUCGCAGAUCAGCACGCUGCGGUGAAUACGUUCCCGGGCCUUGUACACACCGCCCGUCACACCAUGGGAGUGGGUUGCAAAAGAAGUGAGUAGGCUAACUUCGGAGGCCGCUCACCACUUUGUGAUUCAUGACUGGGGUGAAGUCGUAACAAGGUAACC